Molecule: ribosomal RNA, 495 nt
Filed under: uncultured bacterium
Lineage: Bacteria
Description: partial 16S ribosomal RNA
Rfam family: Bacterial small subunit ribosomal RNA
Source: RNAcentral
GACGAACGCUGGCGGCGUGCCUAAUACAUGCCAGUAGAACGCUGAAGGAGGAGCUUGCUUCUCUGGAUGAGUUGCGAACGGGUGAGUAACGCGUAGGUAACCUGCCUUGUAGCGGGGGAUAACUAUUGGAAACGAUAGCUAAUACCGCAUAAUAGUAGAUGUUGCAUGACAUUUGCUUAAAAGUUGCAAUUGCAUCACUACCAGAUGGACCUGCGUUGUAUUAGCUAGUUGGUGAGGUAACGGCUCACCAAGGCGACGAUACAUAGCCGACCUGAGAGGGUGAUCGGCCACAAUGGGACUGAGACACGGCCCAGACUCCUACGGGAGGCAGCAGUAGGGAAUCUUCGGAAAUGGACGGAAGUCUGACCGCGCAACGCCGCGUGAGUGAAGAAGGUUUUCGGAUCGUAAAGCUCUGUUGUAAGAGAAGAACGAGUGUGAGAGUGGAAAGUUCACACUGUGACGGUAUCUUACCAGAAAGGGACGGCUAACUACGUG